GAAUCUUGCGCAAUGGGCGAAAGCCUGACGCAGCGACGCCGCGUGGGGGAUGAAGGCCCUCGGGUUGUAAACCCCUUUCGGCAGGGACGAAGCGAUCGUGACGGUACCUGCAGAAGAAGCCUCGGCUAACUACGUGCCAGCAGCCGCGGUAACACGUGGGAGGCGAGCGUUGUCCGGAUUCAUUGGGCGUAAAGAGCGCGCAGGCGGUUUGGCAAGUCGGAUGUGAAAUCCCGAGGCUCAACCUCGGGACUGCAUCCGAUACUGCCCGACUAGAGGUAGGUAGGGGAGAUCGGAAUUCCUGGUGUAGCGGUGAAAUGCGCAGAUAUCAGGAGGAACACCGGUGGCGAAGGCGGAUCUCUGGGCCUUACCUGACGCUCAGGCGCGAAAGCUAGGGGAGCGAACAGG
This 405-nucleotide ribosomal RNA is filed under the name uncultured bacterium. Its description in RNAcentral is "bacterial SSU rRNA". It matches the Rfam family "Bacterial small subunit ribosomal RNA", at positions 359 to 776 of the family's 1533-position model. The record is from RNAcentral.